Molecule: ribosomal RNA, 465 nt
Filed under: uncultured bacterium
Lineage: Bacteria
Description: bacterial SSU rRNA
Rfam family: Bacterial small subunit ribosomal RNA
Source: RNAcentral
CCUACGGGUGGCAGCAGUGGGGAAUAUUGCACAAUGGGGGAAACCCUGGUGCAGCAACGCCGCGUGAGCGAUGAAGGCCUUCGGGUCGUAAAGCUCUGUUGUUAGGGAAGAACACGUACGAGAGUCACUGCUCGUACCUUGACGGUACCUAACCAGAAAGCCACGGCUAACUACGUGCCAGCAGCCGCGGUAAUACGUAGGUGGCAAGCGUUGUCCGGAAUUAUUGGGCGUAAAGCGCGCGCAGGCGGUCUCUUAAGUCUGAUGUGAAAGCCCACGGCUCAACCGUGGAGGGUCAUUGGAAACUGGGGGACUUGAGGGCAGAAGAGGAGGGGGGAAUUCCACGUGUAGCGGUGAAAUGCGUAGAGAUGUGGAGGAACACAAGUGGCGAAGGCGACUCUCUGGUCUGUAACUGACGCUGAGGCGCGAAAGCGUGGGGAGCGAACAGGAUUAGAUACCCUUGUAGUC